GUGCUCACACUGGUAGCACAUAUACUAAAAUUGGAAUGAUACAGAGACGAUCAGCAUGGCCCUGUGCAAGGAUGAAAUGCAAAUUUGUGAACAGUGUUCCAUGUUUUU
Small nuclear RNA from Octodon degus (degu), 108 nucleotides. The record is from Ensembl. NCBI's taxonomy places the organism in Eukaryota, Metazoa, Chordata, Mammalia, Rodentia, Octodontidae.